CAUUCACUCAGUUCCUGCUGGAACCAGCGGUUGUCUUCAUUUACGUAGCGUUUUAGGACGGGCGGCAGGGAGUCCAUGCCAUGCAGUACCUGACCUGUCUCGUCAUCGGUGUUUUCUGAGGAAAAGUGAGGCUGAGACGAGGAAGUCCAGCACUCUUCUCAUCACCAGUUUCUUCUAUUCACAAUCUGGCUCCAGUUUCUGCCCAGCCACCUGAUAGGCCUGACUAAAAUCAGUCUGGAAUGGACUAAUGAUAGACCCUACUGGUCCUCACCUGUAUGACAGCGCUGAACCAGCAGGUGUUCCCGACAUUACGGAUGCCUACGGGCCAGUCACCCUGACGGAUCCAGUCUGCUGGGCUGCACAUCUCACCCUGGCCUUCACAGCGUUUCC
Molecule: long non-coding RNA, 390 nt
Organism: Cynoglossus semilaevis (tongue sole)
Lineage: Eukaryota; Metazoa; Chordata; Actinopteri; Pleuronectiformes; Cynoglossidae
Exons: 3
Source: RefSeq, a predicted model, not a curated record